CCAAAAUUCUAGAAACCAAUAGGUUGAUUGGACUGAAUUUUAAGGAUUGGCUCCUAAACUUGAAAAUUAUUUUGAGUUUCAAGAAAUUGGCUUACGUCCUUGACCAGGACCUUCUCCCUCUACUAGCUCAUCCGACCGCUAAUCAGAGAGUGUCUCAUAGGAAGUAAUUAGAUGAUGACAAUAAAGUUAGGUGCUAUGUGU
This 201-nucleotide long non-coding RNA is filed under the name Elaeis guineensis (African oil palm). Its description in RNAcentral is "long non-coding RNA (EGUI_LNC051693)". Lineage: Eukaryota; Viridiplantae; Streptophyta; Magnoliopsida; Arecales; Arecaceae. The record is from RNAcentral.